Molecule: ribosomal RNA, 449 nt
Filed under: uncultured bacterium
Lineage: Bacteria
Description: partial 16S ribosomal RNA
Rfam family: Bacterial small subunit ribosomal RNA
Source: RNAcentral
AACGAACGCUGGCGGCAUGCCUAACACAUGCAAGUCGAACGAUGCCUUCGGGCAUAGUGGCACACGGGUGCGUAACACGUGGGAAUCUGCCCUUCGGUUCGGAAUAACUCAGGGAAACUUGAGCUAAUACCGGAUGAUGACGUAAGUCCAAAGAUUUAUCGCCGAAGGAUGAGCCCGCGUAGGAUUAGGUAGUUGGUGGGGUAAUGGCCUACCAAGCCGACGAUCCUUAGCUGGUCUGAGAGGAUGAUCAGCCACACUGGGACUGAGACACGGCCCAGACUCCUACGGGAGGCAGCAGUGGGGAAUAUUGGACAAUGGGCGAAAGCCUGAUCCAGCAAUGCCGCGUGAGUGAUGAAGGCCUUAGGGUUGUAAAGCUCUUUUACCAGGGAUGAUAAUGACAGUACCUGGAGAAUAAGCUCCGGCUAACUCCGUGCCAGCCGCCGCAGUAA